Molecule: transfer RNA, 81 nt
Filed under: Elusimicrobia bacterium RIFCSPLOWO2_01_FULL_64_13
Lineage: Bacteria; Pseudomonadati; Elusimicrobiota
Description: tRNA-Leu
Rfam family: tRNA
About the family: Transfer RNA (tRNA) molecules are approximately 80 nucleotides in length. Their secondary structure includes four short double-helical elements and three loops (D, anti-codon, and T loops). Further hydrogen bonds mediate the characteristic L-shaped molecular structure. tRNAs have two regions of fundamental functional importance: the anti-codon, which is responsible for specific mRNA codon recognition, and the 3' end, to which the tRNAs corresponding amino acid is attached (by aminoacyl-tRNA synthetases). tRNAs cope with the degeneracy of the genetic code in two manners: having more than one tRNA (with a specific anti-codon) for a particular amino acid; and 'wobble' base-pairing, i.e. permitting non-standard base-pairing at the 3rd anti-codon position.
Source: RNAcentral
GGGCGGGUGGCGGAAUGGCAGACGCGCCAGCCUUAGGAGCUGGUGGGGAGACCCGUAGAGGUUCGAGUCCUCUUCCGCCCA